Molecule: ribosomal RNA, 474 nt
Filed under: uncultured bacterium
Lineage: Bacteria
Description: bacterial SSU rRNA
Rfam family: Bacterial small subunit ribosomal RNA
Source: RNAcentral
GCAAGUCGAGCGAUGAAGCUUUCUCGGAAAGUGAUUAGCGGCGGACGGUGAGUAACACGUGGGUAACCUGCCUCAUAGAGGGGAAUAGCCUUUACGAAAGGACUGCUAAUACCGAAUGUUGUAUCUCCUCCGCAUGGAAGACGAUAUUAAAGAUGGCCUCUACUUGUAAGCUAUCGCUUUGCGAUGGGUCUGCGUCUGAUUAGCUAGUUGGUGGGGCAACGGCCUACCAAGCCGACGAUCAGUAGCCGGUCUGAGAGGAUGAACGGCCACACUGGAACUGAGACACGGUCCAGACUCCUACGGGAGGCAGCAGUGGGGAAUCUUCCGCAAUGGGCGAAAGCCUGACGGAGCAACGCCGCGUGAGUGAUGACGGCCUUCGGGUUGUAAAGCUCUGUGAUCGGGGACGAACGGUCAGCAGACGAAUACUCUGCUGAAGUGACGGUACCCGAAUAGCAAGCCACGGCUAACUACGUG